AUACCUUUCUCGGCCUUUUGGCUAAGAUCAAGUGUAGUAUCUGUUCUUAUCAGUUUAAUAUCUGAUAUGUGGGUCAUGUGCCCACAACGAUAUUAAAUUUAUUUUUUAUGGGGGAGGGUCCACCACACUAGCUAGCUAGUGGGGCCUUCAUGUGUCGCCUGGGCGUUGCACUACUACCCAGGCCAGGCGCACCCCAA
This 197-nucleotide small nuclear RNA is filed under the name Aegilops tauschii subsp. strangulata. Its description in RNAcentral is "snRNA U2". It matches the Rfam family "U2 spliceosomal RNA". Rfam says of the family: U2 is a small nuclear RNA (snRNA) component of the spliceosome (involved in pre-mRNA splicing). Complementary binding between U2 snRNA (in an area lying towards the 5' end but 3' to hairpin I) and the branchpoint sequence (BPS) of the intron results the bulging out of an unpaired adenosine, on the BPS, which initiates a nucleophilic attack at the intronic 5' splice site, thus starting the first of two transesterification reactions that mediate splicing. Lineage: Eukaryota; Viridiplantae; Streptophyta; Magnoliopsida; Poales; Poaceae. The record is from Rfam by way of RNAcentral.